RNAcentral lists this unclassified non-coding RNA (394 nucleotides) under uncultured fungus. RNAcentral describes it as "partial contains ITS1, 5.8S rRNA and ITS2". Lineage: Eukaryota; Fungi. The record is from RNAcentral.
AACGCACAUGGCGCUUCUCAUGAAGCAUGCUUGUUUCAGUGUGUAUACCUCUCACAGAAGGCUCCGCCUUUUCGUGGUGUAUGAGCCCCACGGCGCCCCCUGUGCGCCGCGUGGCUUGAAGUGAGUUUUCAGAGACCCUGGUGCAAGAGCGUCCCUAUCUCCGGGGAAGCAAUGCAGCGCGGUGUGGUAGGUUCCCCUCGUGGGAUACUAAAAACCCCUGUGACCUGUCUUGCUUCUACUCCAAACUGGGGAUGCCAAAGGUUCGUUUUUCCCAAUCGUGGUUUGUCUGAGGGGCGCUCUGUUACAACAGCGCGCUCCGAGGCGGGGACCCUUGCCGGCCCCCAACCCCCUCAACUUGUACCUGAAAUCAAGUAAGAGAACCCGCUGAAUUUAA